RNAcentral lists this ribosomal RNA (253 nucleotides) under uncultured Rudaea sp. RNAcentral describes it as "partial 16S ribosomal RNA". It matches the Rfam family "Bacterial small subunit ribosomal RNA", at positions 524 to 776 of the family's 1533-position model. Lineage: Bacteria; Pseudomonadati; Pseudomonadota; Gammaproteobacteria; Lysobacterales; Rhodanobacteraceae. The record is from RNAcentral.
UACGAAGGGUGCAAGCGUUACUCGGAAUUACUGGGCGUAAAGGGUGCGUAGGUGGUUCUUUAAGUCUGCUGUGAAAGCCCCGGGCUCAACCUGGGAAUGGCAGUGGAUACUGGGGAGCUAGAGUGCGGUAGAGGGUAGUGGAAUUCCCGGUGUAGCAGUGAAAUGCGUAGAGAUCGGGAGGAACACCAGUGGCGAAGGCGGCUACCUGGACCAGCACUGACACUGAAGCACGAAAGCGUGGGGAGCAAACAGG